AUUGAACGCUGGCGGAAUGCUUUACACAUGCAAGUCGAACGGUAACAGGUCUUCGGAUGCUGACGAGUGGCGAACGGGUGAGUAAUAUAUCGGAACGUGCCCAGUCGUGGGGGAUAACGUAGCGAAAGUUACGCUAAUACCGCAUACGAUCUAUGGAUGAAAGCGGGGGAUCGCAAGACCUCGCGCGAUUGGAGCGGCCGAUAUCAGAUUAGGUAGUUGGUGGGGUAAAGGCUCACCAAGCCAACGAUCUGUAGCUGGUCUGAGAGGACGACCAGCCACACUGGAACUGAGACACGGUCCAGACUCCUACGGGAGGCAGCAGUGGGGAAUUUUGGACAAUGGACGCAAGUCUGAUCCAGCCAUUCCGCGUGCAGGAUGAAGGCCCUCGGGUUGUAAACUGCUUUUGUACGGAACGAAAAGGUCUCUCCUAAUACGAGGGGCUCAUGACGGUACCGUAAGAAUAAGCACCGGCUAACUACGUGCCAGCCGCCGCCGUAA
This 498-nucleotide ribosomal RNA is filed under the name uncultured bacterium. Its description in RNAcentral is "partial 16S ribosomal RNA". It matches the Rfam family "Bacterial small subunit ribosomal RNA", at positions 30 to 523 of the family's 1533-position model. The record is from RNAcentral.